CAGCGUCUUAGUAAGAGGGUGUGUGCCGCAGAGCUGGGCGGGCAACCCAGGGCUGGCAACCCCGGGGACAGUGCCACAGAUGCUCAGAGACCCGCAGCGUUUCAUGCCCAGCUUUUGGCCUUUGGCGUACCAAAGAUCAAUUUUUUAGCUUCCCUUAGAGAUGCUGAUUGCCACAUUAUACAUAAUUACACAGCAUUAAGGACAACCUCAGUGUCCAAAGGUAAGAAUCUGUUAAUUGUGGUCCCUGCAUGGAAAGAUAUCCUCGAUGUUUCAUGUCAUGAAAGGUGGUUAGAGGAAAAGCUUCUAUAGCGUGAUCUCAUUUAAUAUAAAAUACAGAAGCCACCCUGUAAAAGUCUAUGAGGCUCUAUACCUAUUAACAGUGAUUGUCCCAGAGACUGGGAUUACAGAGGAAAGCGGGUUUUACUUUCUGCUUUAUUUAUUUCCGAAUGAUAAUAAUUAGUAUUUAUUUCUCUUUGUUACAUGAUAAUCAUCUGAUUGAUUGGCAUGUAUUAUUUAUAUAAUUUUAAAAAUUAAGGUCACAUUAUAAAUAAUGAAAAGACCACCUUUGAGCCUCAUUCCUUCCACAGAGGAGGAUUUCUUUUUCGUUCUUUUUUUUUUUUUUUUUUUUUUGGUCUUUUUAGGGCCAUACCCACAGCAAAUGGAGGUUCCCAGGCUUGGGAUCAAAUCGGAGCUGCAACUGCCGGCCUACACCACAGCCACAGCAACAUGGGAUCCGAGCCGCUUCUCUGUGGUGUGGGUCGCAGAUGAGGCUUGGAUCUGGCAUUGCUGUGGCUGUGGUGUAGACCAGUGGCUACAGCUCUGAUUGGACCCCUAGCCUGGAAAGCUCCAUAUGCUGCUGGUUCUACCCUAAAAAGCAAAAUAAAAACCAAAAACCAAUGGUUAACUGUUUCCCUGAUUAGACUGUAAAUAAUGCAGAUAUUUGGGGGUGAGAGGGACAAACAAUGUAAAUAUUUUAUAGACUGUAGGCUAAAUAAUGUAUAUAUUUAGAAAAGCAGCCUAAAUAUUUCAUAUACUGCAGCAUGGAUUCCCACUUACAGGAUGGAUGGGGCUGGUGGGGCCUGUGGGGUAAGGAUGGUGGCACUGUGGCCCCCGGGGUGGAGGGGCUGACGCGUGGCAGUAAGACUAUGUUUGUGGGACUCGGGCACAGCAAGGACCAACCACUGUCAGUUACUUGCAACGCAAGUAGUUGAAAGUCUCAAAUCCAGAUUGUUCAAACCAUCUUUUAAAUAGCCUGUACUCUUUUUUUUUUUUUUUUUGGAUGUGUAAAAGAGACAGAUGACAACCUCAUGACAAGAAUUUAUGUUCAAAAAGCAGCCUGAAAUUCAGGAGAAUUGAAAACAUACAUCCACAGAAAAACUUGUACAUCCAUGUUCAUAGCAGCGCUUUUUUUGAGGGGGAUGGGUCUUUGCAUCUUUUCUAGGGCUGCACCUGCAUCAUAUGGAGGUUCCGAAGCUAGGGGUCUAAUUGGAGCUGUAUUUGCCAGCCUACGCCAUAGCACAGCAACGCCAGAUCUGAGCCAAACCUGUGACCUACACCACCACUCACGGCAAUGCUGGAUCCUUAACCCACUGAGCGAGGCCAGGGAUCGAACCCACAACCUCAUGGUUCCUAGUUGGAUUCGUUAACUACUGUGCCACGAUGGGAACUCCAUAGCAGCAUUAUUUUUAACAGCUCAAAAAUAGAAACUGGGAUCCAAAUGCCCAUCAACUGUAGGCAAAAUGUGGUAUGUUCACAUGAUGGAUUAUUAUUCAGCCAUAAAAAGAGAUAAACUUACAUACUUCAGCAUACAUGGAUGUUGAAGCCAACAUGAAAGAAGCCAGACACAAAAGGCUACCUAUUGUAUGAUUCCAUGUAUGUGAAAUGUUCAGGAUAGGCACAUCCAUAGCAACAGAGCAGAUGAGUAUUUGCCAGAAGCUGAGGCGAGGGGAAAAUGGGGAGUCUCCACUAAUGGUUAUGGAGUUUCUUUGGGGGUGUGAUCUAACAUACUGGAGUUAGUAUUGGUGAUGGUUGUACAGCUUUUUCAGGGCAUUCAAAACCAUUGAAUCGUGUUAUUUUACAAAUGUGUUUUGGAGUUCCUAUUGUGGCUCGGUAGGUUAAGAACCCAAUUAGUGUCUGUGAGGAUGCGAGUUUGAUCCCUGGUCUCACUCAGUGGGUUAAGGAUCUGGCUUAAGUCACAGAUACAGCUCAGAUCUCCUGCAGCUCCAAUUCAACCCUUAGCCUGGGAACUUCCAUAUGCCACAGGUGCGGACCUAAAAAAAAAAAAAAAAAAAAAAAAAAA
RNAcentral lists this long non-coding RNA (2299 nucleotides) under Sus scrofa (pig). RNAcentral's name for it is "lncRNA (ENSSSCG00025032378.1)". Lineage: Eukaryota; Metazoa; Chordata; Mammalia; Artiodactyla; Suidae. The record is from RNAcentral.